UACCUGUCGGCGCUGAGGGCAGUGAGAGUGAACACGGAAACCCCCACGGAAGUGAGCUGGAUGACAGGGAUCAGUUUGCAGCCCACCUUGCCAAACAUCCACUCGUCGAAGAAGUAGCGCGAGGCGUCCACCGGGACGCAGGCCAGGUUAGAGAUGAAGAUGUUGGGGACGCUCCUCAUGGCGCUGUUGGUGAUGAAGAUCUUCACCAGCAUGAUGUUGCCCAGCAAGCCCACGGUGAUGAUGAGCAGGUUUGCUCUUGUUUGUGAAGUUCCUGUUGUAUUGUGUGGAACUGGAGGGGAGGUCAGUCCUCCAUGCAUGUGUGUGUGCCC
This 329-nucleotide long non-coding RNA is filed under the name Homo sapiens (human). RNAcentral describes it as "HSALNT0114454". The record is from RNAcentral. Lineage: Eukaryota; Metazoa; Chordata; Mammalia; Primates; Hominidae.